GACGAACGCUGGCGGCGUGCCUAACACAUGCAAGUCGAACGGGACCAGGGGCAACUCUGGGUUCAGUGGCGGACGGGUGCGUAACACGUGAAGGAACAUGACCUUCGGCGGGGGAUAGACCGGCCCAACGGCCGGGUAAUACCGCGUACGACCACAUGGGGACGAUCCCUGAGUGGUGAAAGCAGCAAUGCGCCGAUGGAGUGCCUCGCGGCCUAUCAGCUAGUUGGUGAGGUAACGGCUCACCAAGGCGACGACGGGUAGCUGGUCUGAGAGGAUGGCCAGCCACAUUGGGACUGAGACACGGCCCAGACUCCUACGGGAGGCAGCAGUGGGGAAUAUUGCGCAAUGGACGAAAGUCUGACGCAGCGACGCCGCGUG
RNAcentral lists this ribosomal RNA (378 nucleotides) under uncultured bacterium. RNAcentral's name for it is "bacterial SSU rRNA". It matches the Rfam family "Bacterial small subunit ribosomal RNA", at positions 28 to 403 of the family's 1533-position model. The record is from RNAcentral.